GACGAACGCUGGCGGCGUGCUUAACACAUGCAAGUCGAACGGAAAGGCCCCUUUGGGGGUACUCGAGUGGCGAACGGGUGAGUAACACGUGAGUAACCUGCCCUUGACUUCGGGAUAACUUCAGGAAACUGGGGCUAAUACCGGAUAGGAAUCCUUGCUGCAUGGUGGGGGUUGGAAAGCUUCGGCGGUUUUGGGUGGACUCGCGGCUUAUCGGCUUGUUGGUGGGGUAGUGGCUUACCAAGGCUUUGACGGGUAGCCGGCCUGAGAGGGCGACCGGCCACAUUGGGACUGAGAUACGGCCCAGGCUCCGACGGGAGGAAGAAGGGCGGAAGAUUGAUCAAGGGGCGGCAGGCGGAUGCAGCAACGCCGCGUGCGGGAUGACGGCCUUCGGGUUGAAAAACGCUUUAAGCAGGGGCGAAGCUUGUGGUGACGGUACCUGCAGAAGAAGCACCGGCUAACUACGUG
This 465-nucleotide ribosomal RNA is filed under the name uncultured bacterium. RNAcentral's name for it is "partial 16S ribosomal RNA". It matches the Rfam family "Bacterial small subunit ribosomal RNA", at positions 28 to 507 of the family's 1533-position model. The record is from RNAcentral.